UAGGCUGCAACUCGCCUACAUGAAGUCGGAAUUGCUAGUAAUCGCGGAUCAGCAUGCCGCGGUGAAUACGUUCCCGGGCCUUGUACACACCGCCCGUCACACCAUGGGAGUCGGUAACACCCGAAGCCUGUAGUCUAACCGCAAGGAGGACGCAGUCGAAGGUGGGAUUGAUGACUGGGGUGAAGUCGUAACAAGGUACC
Molecule: ribosomal RNA, 200 nt
Filed under: uncultured bacterium
Lineage: Bacteria
Description: partial 16S ribosomal RNA
Rfam family: Bacterial small subunit ribosomal RNA
Source: RNAcentral